UGUGGAUAUAGAAGGGUUAGU
This 21-nucleotide microRNA is filed under the name Picea abies (Norway spruce). RNAcentral's name for it is "pab-miR946g". Its record names the gene pab-miR946g. Lineage: Eukaryota; Viridiplantae; Streptophyta; Pinopsida; Pinales; Pinaceae. The record is from miRBase by way of RNAcentral.